GCAUAUCAAUAAGCGCAGGAAAAGAAACCAACAGGGAUUGCCUCAGUAACGGCGAGUGAAGCGGCAACAGCUCAAAUUUGAAAUCUGGCCUCUUGGGGUCCGAGUUGUAAUUUGUAGAGGAUGUUUCGGGUACCGCCUCGGUUUAAAUUUCUUGGAACAGAAUGUCAAAGAGGGUGAGAAUCCCGUCUUGGACCGGCGGUAGGGCCUAUGUGAAACUCCUUCGACGAGUCGAGUUGUUUGGGAAUGCAGCUCAAAAUGGGUGGUAAAUUUCAUCUAAAGCUAAAUAUUGGCCAGAGACCGAUAGCGCACAAGUAGAGUGAUCGAAAGAUGAAAAGCACUUUGAAAAGAGAGUUAAACAGUAUGUGAAAUUGUUGAAAGGGAAGCGCUUGCAACCAGACUUGAGCGCGGCGGUUCCCCCUUGCUUCUGCUUGGGUUACUCCGCCGUGUCCAGGCCAACAUCGGUUCUGGGGGUCGGUCAAAGGCUCUGGGAAUGUAUCUACCCACGGGUAGACUUAUAGACCAGGGUGUCAUGCGACCUCCCGGGACCGAGGAACGCGCUUCGGCUCGGAUGUUGGCGUAAUGGUUGUCAGCGACCCGUCUUGAAACACGGACC
This 613-nucleotide ribosomal RNA is filed under the name Fonsecaea monophora. Its description in RNAcentral is "eukaryotic LSU rRNA". It matches the Rfam family "Eukaryotic large subunit ribosomal RNA", at positions 38 to 667 of the family's 3401-position model. Lineage: Eukaryota; Fungi; Ascomycota; Eurotiomycetes; Chaetothyriales; Herpotrichiellaceae. The record is from RNAcentral.